This 119-nucleotide ribosomal RNA is filed under the name Pteropus alecto (black flying fox). The record is from RNAcentral. Lineage: Eukaryota; Metazoa; Chordata; Mammalia; Chiroptera; Pteropodidae.
GUCUACAGCCAUGCCACCCUGACCGUGCCCGAUCCCGUCUGACCUCAGAAGCUAAGCAGGGUCAGGCCUGGUUAGUACUUGGAUGGGAGACUACCUAGGAAUACCAGGUGCUGCAGGCA